Molecule: long non-coding RNA, 449 nt
Organism: Choloepus didactylus (southern two-toed sloth)
Lineage: Eukaryota; Metazoa; Chordata; Mammalia; Pilosa; Megalonychidae
Exons: 3
Source: RefSeq, a predicted model, not a curated record
AUAACUGCUACUGAAGCAUUUGCUUCCAAAUAGUGGAACUGGAAUAUAUGAAUUUAUAUACCUUCAGGAAUAUCUAAUAUGUUGCUCCUAAUCAAUGCCAUUCUCAGCUUGUGGGUCUCCUCUGCUGAGGGAAAAGAAGUAACAUGUGAUCCUCCUCAUGUUGCAAAUGGUUUCUUCACACCUGAAAGGACUAUACACAGAAGUGAAGAUAAAAUCACCUACCACUGUAAAACUGGCUUUUAUCCUUCAACCCAGGGAAAUACAGCAAUAUGUACUGGCAGUGGCUGGGUACCUGUUCCAAGAUGUGCUUGACAAUGCUAUUUCUACUCUAUUGAAAAUGGACGUGCUUCAAAUGAAAGCUACACAUAUUUAGAGAAUGAAUUCAUAAAUAUUGUGUGCAAUCCUGGCUACAGUCUUCCAAAUGAACAGACCAAAAUUACAUGUACAGA